Etheostoma cragini (Arkansas darter) is the source of this 2206-nucleotide long non-coding RNA. RefSeq lists it as uncharacterized. The transcript has 2 exons. NCBI's taxonomy places the organism in Eukaryota, Metazoa, Chordata, Actinopteri, Perciformes, Percidae. The record is from RefSeq and is a predicted model, not a curated record.
UUGGUUUAGGCCUGGUUGGGGGCAGCUUAGGCCUGGCGGGCCUCCAGGCCUGCCGUCCUCCAGGGAAACCCUGCACAUGUAUUACAGACUGAUGUGAUAAUAGCCUACAUGUAGCUUAGCACAAGGACUGGAGGCUAGGCUAACACUUAGCUGAGCCCACACUGGUCCUGUCUCUCUCUGCUGGAGGUAUCCGUACGAGAUGAGAUGAACUCAUCCAGAGCCGUCAUCGCAAAUGACCACUAUUUCCCAAAUAUUUCUUUUAGAUUUCAGUCUUAUGAUUUCCGUGCAUUCCGUUAGCUUUCAUAAAUGCCGAUGCCAUUACAGCUGUUGUUCUAUAUUUCGUGUUUUUGCACGUCUUGCUGUGACUCAUGCGAACAGGGCCAUGUUAGUUUAUUGCGAUACAUUUUGUAGUUCUUUAUUUCUCAUAGACCUUGAAUGUAUUUUUGAAUGCUCAACUUCUUUUGUAUUUGGUCCAUAAUUCCUAAACAGAUUCUUCAUAUAGCUUCAUAAGUUCCUCGCUGUACAUUUCCUCGUGUUUUGGUUUAGUUCAAAAUUAUGACUUCUAUAUAAUAUUUUGUGACUUACUUAUAAAUGCACCGAUCCAACUUUUUCACUCCCGAUACCGGAGCUUUGGGUACCGAUCCGAGUCCCUGCACACCGAUCUCAUCCGACUAAUCAACCAGUUUUAGUUUAGUGGAUUUCAAUCACUCACACACACACACACACAACAUAAAUGGUAAUAGACAAAAACUGUCACCUUAAUUCAUACGGUGUCAUCUUAACUCGUUUUGUUAUCAAUACUGAACGAAAAGGUUGAAUUUGCUUAUUACACCGAACUUUUUUACAUUAUAUUUUGUUUUUAGGUCCUUCAGAAUCGAAUCAAGCUUAUUAAAUGUAUUAUUAAUCUCUGUACGUUUAUACACAUUAACACACUAGGAGAGGAUGUGAAAUGGAACCCACUCCCGUUCAUAUUCACAUAGCCAUACAUUCCUCACUUUGAUAUUUUUGUUUAGCAUCUUCUUUUUUAGUAUUUUCUUUUAAAGUCUUCCGGUGACAACGUGACUGGGAUCAUUAUAUGAGUGGAAGGCUCCAUCAGGCUGGGCUUUGUAAUACUGAAUAUAACAAAUACAUGGAUACACAUUUAUAGAAUUAUUUAUUAAAAUUAAGAACAAAAAAGAAUAGCUCGACCCCAGUGUCACCUGACCCAGCUCUUAAUAUCGGCCUGAUAUCAGUAUCAGGUCGGUGCAUUCUCAUAAUUAUCCUACAUGUGAUCAUAAUUAUGGGAUUUCUUAUAAUGAGAAAGUUCCCAUUGUUUUUUUUCCAUAACGAGUGAAAUAUUAUGGUUCAUAAGAUAGAUUACUGUUAGAAUCUCAGUCCCAAAUCCGAACUAUGGGUACGGUAGUUCUACACAUGAAUGCACAGAUAGUUUGAAUUGACAAAGUGAUGAACACAUGCUGAAAGAUAUGAUAUUAAGGAUUAUGGACAGAAGAAAAGCAAUAUCUAUGCUACGGACUGAAUUACUGUUGCCUUUUGCUCUUUUCUGGACCCGUUUAUUUGUUUUCUUCUUCUGGGUUCAUUCUUGACGUACAAUAGCCAAAUAAUCACUAAAGCACAUUAUCGUGAGAUAGAGCCAAGGGAAACAUAAAGCCAUUAUUAAUAUGUGACUGAGUAAAAGGAGGAAGAUCUAUGGGUGAUCUAGCUCACACAGCAGAAGAUGUUUUUGAAUGAAAAAUUAAUGUUUGUGCCAUAAACUAUUUCUGCAGUAUAGAAAACGCAUUAUUGUUUGACCCUAACCUUUUUUGUAUUGGACGUGCAAACUUUGUGUUAAUUUUCCAUGUCUUUAGUGUUGAUGUUGUGUCAUACCUGAUGCUUAUGUUUUGUUGAACGGUUUUUGAAAAAAAUAUCUAUUUUUAGAAACCCAUGGAACAUUUCCAUUUGUUUACAAGAGCAGCGGUAUGGAAGCAGAGAGCGGCUGUGUCGUCGUUCAUUUUUGGUCACGACAAUUUGACGUUCAAUCCCGGUAUCUCGGUAACGAGGUCUUCCAAUAAGUGGGGACAAAAGUCUUCAUCCCCUUGAGUCCAGAACUAGAUAUGUGAUGAUUUAAAAACUUAGUUUUCUUAUGAAAAUCUAACAUGAAUUUCUUUACCUCAAGAAAACCCCUUUUAUUCUGUUACUUUGAGAAGACGGGAUAUUUAUUUCAGUUAUC